AGUGGGAUAGCUGGGUCAAAUGGUGGUUGCAUUCCAAGUUUUCCAAGGAAUCUCCAUACUGCUUUCCAGAGUGGGUACACCAAUUUCCAGUGCCACCAGCAAU
This 103-nucleotide microRNA precursor is filed under the name Marmota monax (woodchuck). Lineage: Eukaryota; Metazoa; Chordata; Mammalia; Rodentia; Sciuridae. The record is from RNAcentral.